CCUACGGGAGGCAGCAGUGGGGGAUAUUGCACAAUGGGGGAAACCCUGAUGCAGCGACGCCGCGUGGGCGAAGAAGUAUCUAGGUAUGUAAAGCUCUAUCAGCAGGGAAGAAGAAAUGACGGUACCUGAGUAAGAAGCACCGGCUAAAUACGUGCCAGCAGCCGCGGUAAUACGUAUGGUGCAAGCGUUAACCGGAUUUACUGGGUGUAAAGGGAGCGCAGGCGGCACGGCAAGCCUGAUGGGAAAGCUCGCGGCCCAACCGCGGGACUGCGGUGGGAACUACCGGGCUGGAGUGCCGGAGAGGUAUGCGGAAUGCGUAGUGUAGCGGUGAAAUGCGUAGAUAUUAGGAAGAACACCAGUGGCGAAGGCAGCCUACUGGACGGUGACUGACGCUGAGGCUCGAAAGCGUGGGGAGCGAACAGGAUUAGAUACCCCGGUAGUC
RNAcentral lists this ribosomal RNA (442 nucleotides) under uncultured bacterium. RNAcentral's name for it is "partial 16S ribosomal RNA". It matches the Rfam family "Bacterial small subunit ribosomal RNA", at positions 338 to 795 of the family's 1533-position model. The record is from RNAcentral.